Coturnix japonica (Japanese quail) is the source of this 903-nucleotide non-coding RNA. The record is from RefSeq and is a predicted model, not a curated record. NCBI's taxonomy places the organism in Eukaryota, Metazoa, Chordata, Aves, Galliformes, Phasianidae.
GCAGCCAAAGAAGCGGGGCAGAGCACACAGGGCAGAGCACGCAGGGCCACCCCGGGACCUCAGCGGCCGGAUCGCCCCGAGCUGCGGCAGCCCCGUGGGCCGGCACCUUCCCUCUGAACGGAGGGACGAACAGCAGAGCAGGGCCGCCACAGCUGGAAGAUACCUUCAGAAAAGCUGUCACCCACCCUUCUGUUGCAGCAGGGCUUUCUGUGUUAGAGCUGAUUAGCAAGAUUACAGUACUUCUGCUUCUUGUCAGUGUAAGGUCAUGAAUCAAUGAAGCACGACAACAAGAAAAGAUAACCAUGAAACCCCUGGAGAUGGAAAUGUCAUUGUUUCUAGGCCUUGUUUCUAUUGCUGUUACAAGUCAAACUGCUGCCCAGUGGCAUGUAAGUGAUCCAGGAGCUGGGAGAGAAGCAGCUUACAUCACCAGAGCAACCUCAGUGUCCAAAGUAGAAGAACCCAAGGGAGAAUUUGUAUCACAAGGUGACCUUGAGGAACAGCAAGCAUUGUGGAAAAAAAGCCCAACAAGUUCUCCUGAAAUGCACCCAAGGGAAAGCAUCGCCAGUUGCAGAUCGUGGCUGUCCAACAAUCUCCUGCCCAGAAGCCGUGCUGUGCAAGGAGAUGACAUGAACAGUCCCUGCUACUGAAGCUCACACAGGUCGGCUCCCCAGGUGUUGGUAAAUCAGAGGGGUUGGUGUGCUCGAGGUGCAAGAAGUGGAUGGAAAAAAGGCAACGAGCUUUAACAGUGCUGUUAUGUGUUUCCCUUGCCAGCCAGCAGUAUGCUUUGGGACCAGCGCUGUGCCACACCACCUGUGUGACUUCGGUGAUACACUACAAGAGAAGCUGCUUCAUUUGGACAAGGAAAUGCCAUCACAGCACCCGUGGCGUCUUCACUGCAAGCAG